CAGUCGCCGCGGGAAUACGUAGGGUGCGAGCGUUAAUCGGAAUUACUGGGCGUAAAGCGUGCGCAGGCGGUUUUGUAAGACAGGCGUGAAAUCCCCGGGCUCAACCUGGGAAUGGCGCUUGUGACUGCAAAGCUAGAGUGCGGCAGAGGGGGAUGGAAUUCCGCGUGUAGCAGUGAAAUGCGUAGAUAUGCGGAGGAACACCGAUGGCGAAGGCAAUCCCCUGGGCCUGCACUGACGCUCAUGCACGAAAGCGUGGGGAGCAAACAGGAUUAGAGACCCCUGUAGUCCCUGUCUCUUAUAC
Molecule: ribosomal RNA, 301 nt
Filed under: uncultured bacterium
Lineage: Bacteria
Description: partial 16S ribosomal RNA
Rfam family: Bacterial small subunit ribosomal RNA
Source: RNAcentral